This 444-nucleotide ribosomal RNA is filed under the name Parvimonas micra. RNAcentral describes it as "bacterial SSU rRNA". It matches the Rfam family "Bacterial small subunit ribosomal RNA", at positions 28 to 456 of the family's 1533-position model. The record is from RNAcentral. Lineage: Bacteria; Bacillati; Bacillota; Tissierellia; Tissierellales; Peptoniphilaceae.
GACGAACGCUGGCGGCGUGCUUAACACAUGCAAGUCGAACGUGAUUUUUGUGGAAAUUCUUUCGGGAAUGGAAAUGAAAUGAAAGUGGCGAACGGGUGAGUAACACGUGAGCAACCUACCUUACACAGGGGGAUAGCCGUUGGAAACGACGAUUAAUACCGCAUGAGACCACAGAAUCGUAUGAUAUAGGGGUCAAAGAUUUAUCGGUGUAAGAAGGGCUCGCGUCUGAUUAGCUAGUUGGAAGGGUAAAGGCCUACCAAGGCGACGAUCAGUAGCCGGUCUGAGAGGAUGAACGGCCACAUUGGAACUGAGACACGGUCCAAACUCCUACGGGAGGCAGCAGUGGGGAAUAUUGCACAAUGGGGGGAACCCUGAUGCAGCGACGCCGCGUGAGCGAAGAAGGUUUUCGAAUCGUAAAGCUCUGUCCUAGAAAAGAUAAGACGG